GUGGGGAAUAUUCCGCAAUGAACGAAAGUCUGACGGAGCAACGCCGCGUGAGUGAUGAAGGUUUUCGGACUGUAAAGCUCUGUUGUUUAGGACGAAAGUGCCUGUUGCAAAUAGUUACAGGUAUUGACGGUACUGAACGAGGAAGCCACGGCUAACUACGUGCCAGCAGCCGCGGUAAUACGUAGGUGGCAAGCGUUGUCCGGAAUUAUUGGGCGUAAAGAGCAUGUAGGCGGGAAUCUAAGUCUGUUGUGAAAAUGCGGGGCUCAACCCCGUAUUGCGAUGGAAACUGGGUUUCUUGAGUGCAGGAGAGGAAAGGGGAAUUCCCAGUGUAGCGGUGAAAUGCGUAGAUAUUGGGAGGAACACCAGUGGCGAAGGCGCCUUUCUGGACUGUGUCUGACGCUGAGAUGCGAAAGCCAGGGUAGCGAACGGGAUUAGAAACCCCGGUAGUCC
RNAcentral lists this ribosomal RNA (450 nucleotides) under uncultured bacterium. Its description in RNAcentral is "partial 16S ribosomal RNA". It matches the Rfam family "Bacterial small subunit ribosomal RNA", at positions 354 to 796 of the family's 1533-position model. The record is from RNAcentral.